This 72-nucleotide transfer RNA is filed under the name Schizophyllum commune. RNAcentral describes it as "tRNA-Ser". It matches the Rfam family "tRNA". Rfam says of the family: Transfer RNA (tRNA) molecules are approximately 80 nucleotides in length. Their secondary structure includes four short double-helical elements and three loops (D, anti-codon, and T loops). Lineage: Eukaryota; Fungi; Basidiomycota; Agaricomycetes; Agaricales; Schizophyllaceae. RNAcentral also lists the same sequence under 1 other name. The record is from RNAcentral.
GGCACUAUGGCGGAGUGGUUAACGCGAGAGAUUAGAAAUCUCUUCAACUGGUUCACGAGUCUAGUGGUGGUG